AGCGAACGCUGGCGGCAGGCUUAACACAUGCAAGUCGAACGGGCAUAGCAAUAUGUCAGUGGCAGACGGGUGAGUAACGCGUGGGAACGUACCUUUUGGUUCGGAACAACACAGGGAAACUUGUGCUAAUACCGGAUAAGCCCUUACGGGGAAAGAUUUAUCGCCGAACGAUCGGCCCGCGUCUGAUUAGCUAGUUGGUAGGGUAAUGGCCUACCAAGGCGACGAUCAGUAGCUGGUCUGAGAGGAUGAUCAGCCACAUUGGGACUGAGACACGGCCCAAACUCCUACGGGAGGCAGCAGUGGGGAAUAUUGGACAAUGGGCGAAAGCCUGAUCCAGCCAUGCCGCGUGAGUGAUGAAGGCCCUAGGGUUGUAAAGCUCUUUUGUGCGGGAAGAUAAUGACGGUACCGCAAGAAUAAGCCCCGGCUAACUUCGUG
This 435-nucleotide ribosomal RNA is filed under the name uncultured bacterium. Its description in RNAcentral is "partial 16S ribosomal RNA". It matches the Rfam family "Bacterial small subunit ribosomal RNA", at positions 29 to 507 of the family's 1533-position model. The record is from RNAcentral.